GUUGUGAAAGCCUUCCGCUUAACGGAAGAACGGCAUCUGAUACUACAGGGCUUGAGUACGGGAGGGGAGAGUGGAACUUCUGGUGGAGCGGUGAAAUGCGUAUAUAUCAGAAGGAACGCCGGCGGCGAAAGCGACUCUCUGGUCCGAAACUGACGCUGAGUGUGCGAAAGCUAGGGGAGCAAACGGGAUUAGAUACCCCGGUAGUCCUAGCCGUAAACGAUGGGCACUAAGUAAAGGGGU
RNAcentral lists this ribosomal RNA (240 nucleotides) under uncultured Planctomycetota bacterium. RNAcentral's name for it is "uncultured planctomycete partial 16S ribosomal RNA". It matches the Rfam family "Bacterial small subunit ribosomal RNA", at positions 591 to 829 of the family's 1533-position model. The record is from RNAcentral. Lineage: Bacteria; Pseudomonadati; Planctomycetota.